GCCGCGGGCUGGGCCCUGGCCGCGCUGGGCGCGCCCGGCCUGCCGCGGGCUCUGCGCUGGCCCGACCUGCGCCGGACACCCGCCGACGGCUUCACAACGAUACGAAAUAUAUCUGAGUUGGACGAGCAGACUGAAGCUUUAAUGGCCGACGAUCCAACGUAGCGCAACACAGUGCGACGCUAGGGCUGUGCGGAGUAGUAAGGUGACUCACAAGCGGUCCCGAACCGCCUAUCGAUAUCGAUAUGCUUUCAUCAUCCAAAAAAAAGUAUUUUCAGACAUUUUUAUAAUGACAUAAUAUUGUAGCGGUGUUUUUUUAUCACGCUAAUUAUUGUUGUAUUAAAUUUACGUAAUAUAUUAACUUACCAAUGCCGAAUGGGUGCUGCGCUUGGUAAAUAAAACUUUUGAUUGCACGCCUUAAACAAUUUUUUUAAUUCAACUCCAUUAUCUUUUAAUUUAUCAGGCUAGUGGACGAUAUCAAGUAAAAAAGUCAUACUAUAUGAGUUUUUUCGUUCGUAUUGAGACCAGAACAACCGGCAACAGCAACCGCCCAUGUAAAUGCAUCUUAAGGGCGCAUCGAUUAUCUUGAUUAUCCGAUUACUGUUUCGGGAAGUGCUACGACCUUCUCCAAACACAGACAAGCCCAGAUAAGUAUUUGUAAAUAUAGUAUUUGAUUGUUUCUUUGGACUUGACAAAAUAUGGAUGAUUGAUGGAGUGUAACACAUUCUCCUAGUCUACAUUGUAUAGCAUUUAUAAAUAUAACAUAGUUUUAAAAGUGUUUUAAAUCAUUCCAUUGUCAUCUCUUUGACAUGAUUGUGUAUAAUAUUAUGACUAUAAUACCUAUCAUAAAGUAACUACUGAAAUAUUUUUCUAAAAUUGUGACGUGUACUUCCACUAAAAUGGGUUCCGUUUGCUACAAUUUGGUUAUUGAUAACAGACAAAAUAUUGUACCUAUAGUAAAAAUAUAAUGUUUAAAGAGUGUAGAAUUGUUUAAACUACUUAGGUACAGAUAUUGUAUCUCACGAAGGCGGGUGAACAAUAAUUGUAGAUGAGUGUCUUGUUACAACACGUCUUUUGUGUGUGUAAGCGCGAGUAUUGGCAGGUGCGAUAGGACGAUAGGACAUUGUCUAACUAAUAACAAUGACGGAACGGGCAGGUUCUUAUUAUUGUGCCCAGGUAUUGUUAAAAGUUGCUAGGAGCUUUCAUCGAUGGAGAUAAUUCGUCAAUCUUUAGAACUAUAAGCUAUAUUUUAUAUUAUCAUUGCCAUAUUUUAUAGUCAUUAAAACUUUUCUGUUAUUGACAUGUAAAAAAUUACGAAUCGUUUCUAGACAUGCAACUUUUUCACUUAAAACUCAUACUUUAGGUUAUGUUGGAAUUUCUUUAUAUACGACAUGCAAAUUAUUAAUGAAUGAAUGACAUCUGCUCUAAAUUGUCUAUUUCGAAAAUAUAGUUAACAGAUCUCUCGCUCAUCUGUAAAAGAACCGAUUAAAAUAUCUACCUAAGAAUCCCCGUUAUUGCCCGAGUGGGGAUUGUACUAUUAUUGUACUAUUACUGCCUGCGUUACUUUUUUAUAGUAUAUACUAUAUAUCCAGCUAAUUCCUAGUGAAAUCCCCACAAAAUCGGUUAAAUUAAAAUAAAAUUCUUGAUAAACUGUUAUAAUCAACUAAGAUUUUAAAAAGAUUCAUUAUGGAUGACUUUUCCGCGUUGAGUUCCAUGCUGUCUGUACUUCUUACGCACACAAAAACAGAGUGCAUGUAAAUGUUCAAUGUAGUAUAACAAUUAAGUCGCAAUCGCCUUCGUGAAAUAGAACAUAUUCUGUACAAUUUGGCAACUCCUACUUUGAUGUUAUCCAAUGUUUUAGAAGUGAGUGAUUUGGCCCACUGAUAUUGGAAACUUCAAAUAUUUGUUAAUUAAAGUAUAAUGAAAAUUAUUUUAUACUACACCUUCGGAAAGUGUAUUCGUAGUAAUCGAAAAUCGUCCUUUAUGCGUAUUAAACACACUAACGUGUUCUCGAUUUGUUUUUCUUUAUUUAUUUAUUAGAUAUUUUGACAGAUUGACCAAUUACAAUUUACAUAAAUCUAGUUAUCGGUUAAUUUUUUUUACAAAGACUGACAGUUUUCAAAUAGCUCUCUGCAGCAAAUAGAACAUUUGUAUAAUUGAUAUUAAUUGUUAUUUGGUUGAUUAAGUUAAAAUAAUUUCUUCCUCCUUUCCUUCCUUGUAGGUGUAGUAUAAAGCAAUAUAUUGUAUCACUCGGGUGAAAUUGCGACUGAGUGGAGUCAGGUGUAUUGAGGCCCUCGACUUCGUCUCGAGUCUGCACUCUCUGGAAUCGCUUUCUCCAUCUGAUUUAACCUCAAUUCACUACCGCAAAAUUUAAAAAACUGCCAUUCUUGUAUUUUAAUUAUUUGAUUUGGUUUAAUAGAACACGGUGCCGUAAUAUAUUACGUAAUAUAAUCAUAACUCAGUAACUAGUUAUUAAGUUUGAAUGUGUAUUUUAAAUGCACAUCGUACUUUAUAUUUUCGCUGUACAAACAGUUUGCCCCGAAACUAAACUUAUAUUUGUGUGAUUUUAACUUUUUAGACUUUGAUAUUUAGGAUGGUUUAUUUAUUUUACUUUUUACAUUUUGAAUGCUUGUUAAUAUUGACUGUAAGAUUGCGAUCUCUAUAAAGUUAUUAUAAAUAAAUACCUGUAAAUUAUUUAUUUUUUAUUUUUCUACCUGCAACACGAACAGUAUAAAGUUCUUUUUAAAAGUCCCAGUAAAGAAUAACAAAGCAAAUUGCGUACAAGACCUUUUUUUCGUGAAAUGUAAAUGUAAUAAGAACUAGGUAUAUACGUACUUUGAGAAUGAUAGUAUGACCAUAUGUUUUGUACAUAAUUAUCAAGUAGAGUCAAAUUUUAUGUUUAAUAAUUAUUUAUAAACUCCAUUUCCCGAAUUGACUGAGUACCUACAUACCGUGUGAAAAUGGGCUAAUUUCUCAUGAGCUCUUUAAUUAAGCUUCAAGUAUUAAACUAAGAGAUUAAAAAGUAUGUUCCGUGAUAUCGUUAGAUCAGCAAUGUUACCAGAUUUGCAUAUUUUCUUCAUUUUUGAAUUGACGCAUUUUUCUCAGACAAUUAUUUUUGUCCUUAGUUUUUGGCAAUAUUUUAAUUGUUGAAUUCUGAGUCGGUACUUCGCUACGUCACACGUCUUCUUUUAUAUUUUAUUGAGACGAAGAGUAGGGUAAAUUACUGGGUAGGAUCCUUUUGUGUGAUAAAUAAUAAUAUCUACAGAAUACAGAUUGUCUGCACAACCAGUAACGCUUUGUAUUAGAAACUAUCAUUGACGUAUUGUUGUUUAUAGUACGUCCAUGGUGACUAUCAAUUGUUUUGUUAAUUAUUAUUGUGUAUUAAUAAACAGCUUUAUUUACG
Molecule: long non-coding RNA, 3400 nt
Organism: Leptidea sinapis
Lineage: Eukaryota; Metazoa; Arthropoda; Insecta; Lepidoptera; Pieridae
Exons: 2
Source: RefSeq, a predicted model, not a curated record